Molecule: non-coding RNA, 77 nt
Organism: Podarcis lilfordi (Lilford's wall lizard)
Lineage: Eukaryota; Metazoa; Chordata; Lepidosauria; Squamata; Lacertidae
Source: the annotation of a GenBank genome assembly
GCAUAGCUGCAUAGCUCAGUCAGUAGAGCAUGCAACUCUUAAUCUCAGGGUUGUGGGUUCAGUCCCCAUGUUGGGUG